Molecule: long non-coding RNA, 1281 nt
Organism: Ictalurus furcatus (blue catfish)
Lineage: Eukaryota; Metazoa; Chordata; Actinopteri; Siluriformes; Ictaluridae
Exons: 7
Source: RefSeq, a predicted model, not a curated record
CGUGGUGGAGGAGGAGUUUGAGCUGGUGGCAGCCAAUGGGAAAUCAGAAAUCACAACAACAACAACAACAACAACAACAACCAAACAGCCACAGUACAUCACCGUGGCAGUGCCGUUGGGUAAGGCUGGCAUGCUGAGCGAGUCAGGAAUCAGAGGCAGCAGAGGUUGCACAGCUGGCAUAGAGGUCAGAGAGGUCAUGGAGGUCACGGUGGAGCCGACGGGCAUCGGGGUCAGCAUGGGCAUCGUUGGCAUGAUAGAUAGCGCUGAAUCAAACUCUGAAUCACAACUCCGGGAAUACUCGCUGUUCGAAUCAUUUCAACAACGACACGACUGCUCCUGACACCGUGAAGCCAGAGACAGGAAGUGACGUCACUGCUUCAACUAAUCAGUUUAUUGUCGAGCGUGCGGUGCAGACCGAACCCCAGAGCUUCGACACUGGCCCGAGUGUCCUGAACACGCCGUGCGUGAGUAAACACGGUUUCUGAUGCACGGCUUCAUGAUCGAUCGGACGCGCGUGCACCUUCUUAACGGUCCGGUUGCUUACCAUGCACGUCGCGAGGACUCCGGACUCCGUUCCUGACCGGGUGGAUGUUUUUCUUUCUCUCUCUUUCUCUUUCUGUGUGUGUGUGUGUGUGUAUCCAGGUUGCGGAGGAGCUCUUGCUUAUUAAACGCAGCGACGGACGGAGCGCUCGAGCCGUCCGUGAGACGGGUGACGUCACGGAAACGACGCGCCGGGGCGGGGAUUUUCUAUAGCGCGCGCGCGCACAUCUGUCCGCCAAUGUGGGUCGACGUACGCGGGCGCCCUCGCGUUUCUACCGCGUGCCACACGUCCAAAAGCGCAGAGAACUCUGGUCCGAAAUCCUCCUACGAUGCAUGACUCCAGAAGUUCCUACAUUACCCACAAUGCCGUUCUACUCUGCAUGGUGAGAGUGGCGCAGUGCCUUUGUCUGAGCUCUAAAGAGAUCGAUGCAGCAGCGCUUUAGUCCUUUCGUCUGUCCGGCUCUCUCACCGCCUGAUCUCCACACUCUGCUCUUAGCUGCAUUACUACAAACUACAGUGGAUCUAGGAAAAAGAAGUUUCGCCAAAAAUCAAAACUAGCCAGACGGAGUCGAUUCUACGCCAGGUUCACCUCAGGGGUCUGACAGGAAACCCCUCGAAAACGAAACCCAGAAAAAAUAAUUAUUUUCUACUUCUUUAAAAUAAACAAAUAAAAUAAACGAGACAGGCAGUAGUGUUUUUAUUCUCUCCUCUUUUUUUUAUUUAUAUAAAUAUAAAAAUAUA